GACGAACGCUGGCGGCGUGCUUAACACAUGCAAGUCGAACGGAAAGGCCCUGCUAUUGUGGGGUGCUCGAGUGGCGAACGGGUGAGUAACACGUGAGUAACCUGCCCUAGUCUUUGGGAUAACUUCAGGAAACUGGGGCUACUCCCGGAUCGCAGCUCCCCCUGCGUGGAGGGGGUGGGAUAGUUUCGGCGGUUGGGGAUGGAUGAGCGGUUUAUCAGCUUGUUGGUGGGGUAGUGGCUUACCAAUGCUUUGAAGGGUAGCCGGCCUGAGAGGGUGACAGGGCACAGAGGCAUAGAGGUGCCGCCCAGACGGCUACGGGGGGAAAGGGUGGAAAAUAGUGCAAAAUAUGCCGAGUGGGGAUGGAGGGACGCCGCGUGCGGGAGGACGGCCUUCGGGUUAGAAAAGCCUUUCGUUAGUGACGAGGCGUGCGUACGGGUAAUAAGUAAUAAGCACCGGCUAACUACGUG
Molecule: ribosomal RNA, 467 nt
Filed under: uncultured bacterium
Lineage: Bacteria
Description: partial 16S ribosomal RNA
Rfam family: Bacterial small subunit ribosomal RNA
Source: RNAcentral